GACUUAGCUCAGUGGUUCCGCCGCCUGCCUCGCAAGCUCAAGGUCCCGAGUUCAAUCCCCGAUACCAAAGGAAAAAAAAAAAAAAAAAAAAAAAAAAUAAUUGGGUAUACAAUUGACGUUUCUCGAGAAAAUCCUAAACAUAAAUAUACAGAGAAAAUCCAAACAACAAUACGCUAAACUUGUCUCAAGUAACUCAACAUGACUGUGUUUUAGCAGUUUAAACAGCAUAAUGACAAAUCCAAUUGAGCUCUGGUUGCCUGCUUUGCACAGAGUGAAAAGGCAAGAAGAAAGGAGGGCUGGAAAACCACACUUUUGGUUAGCACAGAGAUGAGAAGAUCCUGGUUCUCCUCGCCCAAUUCUUAAACUUUGGUUACAAACCAUUUCAUUAUUUCAGUUUGUACAGACAUGAUGGGAGUCUGGUGUUCAUUGAGAAGGGAAGUAAUUCACCACUGAAAGUUUUGUUGGCUGUAAUAAAACCUAAUGAGAAAAUGAGAUGCAAAGAGUCUUAGUUUAGAGUUCAUUGGAAUGACAAGGCUUUAGUCUGGGGGAAAUAUUGGGAAUUACUUCUUUUAAGCACCACCUUCUUUUCUGGAAAGCUAGAGUAACAAUGCCCCAGGGCAACAUGGGGUUACUCAGUGUAUUUCUGCCCUUCCCUUCUAUUUUAUAGUUCAGACCCUUGGGCCUUGAAGACUUUUUUUUUCCUUCAUAGAAACAGUACAAAAAUGAAAGAUCAAGAAGCUAUGAACAAAUCUUUGUAUGUUGUAUUUCAUUUAAAACUACUUGGGGUAAGGGACACAGAGCCAGGGAAUCAUUAAUGUUGGGAUUCCAGAAUUUAAAAAAAAGAAAGAAAAAACCACAAACACACACAUGUGGCAAAUGCUGUUCCUUUUGAAAAAUCUGCCAAGAGUUUUCUUUGAACAUUCUUUAAGUAUGUUGCAGGUAAAUUUUUUUGGGAAAAAAGUGUCAGUAUAACAAGAAACAACCAAAUCUCAUCCUUGAAUGGAGCAUACCCACUAACUGGGUUGAAAUAUGGGAGAUCAAGACAAUAAGUAAGUGCUGAUCAUAAUUUAAAACAGGAUAGUCAGAUUUCAGCACACAAAAUUAGGAAAUUAUGGUGAAUUGGAUUCUUGGAGAAAGAAAGUUGAUUAAGAAAAUAUUUUAAAGGGCUGGG
RNAcentral lists this long non-coding RNA (1171 nucleotides) under Heterocephalus glaber (naked mole-rat). RNAcentral's name for it is "lncRNA (ENSHGLG00100031616.2)". The record is from RNAcentral. Lineage: Eukaryota; Metazoa; Chordata; Mammalia; Rodentia; Bathyergidae.